This 65-nucleotide transfer RNA is filed under the name Caroperla siveci. Its description in RNAcentral is "tRNA-Glu". It matches the Rfam family "tRNA". From Rfam's summary of the family: Transfer RNA (tRNA) molecules are approximately 80 nucleotides in length. Their secondary structure includes four short double-helical elements and three loops (D, anti-codon, and T loops). Lineage: Eukaryota; Metazoa; Arthropoda; Insecta; Plecoptera; Perlidae. The record is from RNAcentral.
AUUUAUGUAGUUUAAUUCAAAACCUUACAUUUUCACUGUAAAAAUAAAGUUAUCUUUCAUAAAUU